RNAcentral lists this non-coding RNA (21 nucleotides) under Caenorhabditis elegans. The record is from RNAcentral. Lineage: Eukaryota; Metazoa; Nematoda; Chromadorea; Rhabditida; Rhabditidae.
UGGGAUUGAUGCAGUUUCACU